RNAcentral lists this unclassified non-coding RNA (476 nucleotides) under Hevea brasiliensis (rubber tree). Lineage: Eukaryota; Viridiplantae; Streptophyta; Magnoliopsida; Malpighiales; Euphorbiaceae. The record is from RNAcentral.
GAAAGAAGAAAGAAGAAGAAGAAAAUGGAUACCUAUGAGGUUUAGACAUCAUAGUCUCCUUUUGGGAUAGGACGUGCAAAGCCAAGAUUGAGCUUCUUGCCUUACCCAAGGUUGAAUUUUAGGCUCUUUUUAUGCCAAUUUUUGCCUCUUCGCGGAAGCUUAAAAACAAAUAUUGCCUCUUUUUUUGCCCCAUAUGGUCCACGAUACCUUUCUGAUGGAGGGUGGUGAGAGGGGAUAAAGCCCACUAUUAUUCUUCAGUUGGAAUCAUUUUUGCUUGAAAACGACAAUUCCUUGAUGGGUCACAGCGAAUUAACCUGUCGCUUUUAACUUCGUCCUUUUUAAGAUUCCUAUUUGCAUGUUUCAUUGAGCAAUCAGCUGCAAUCACAAUCGCCGAUCCCACAUCAACUUCAAUCAAGCCACAGUAUAUAUACCCAUGUCAAGGGUGGCGAUUAAUCAAUCGUGUGAGGCAAUGCAUG